Molecule: unclassified non-coding RNA, 295 nt
Filed under: Hevea brasiliensis (rubber tree)
Lineage: Eukaryota; Viridiplantae; Streptophyta; Magnoliopsida; Malpighiales; Euphorbiaceae
Source: RNAcentral
UGAAAUUGCGUGCCACCCAAUUUUUUCCCCAAUUUUAUAAUUUGAUGUAUAACUGUUAUUGAAGAGUUUUGGAGAAGAAAGCAGAGCGAUGGAUCACGCAGCAGAUGCUCAUCGGACUGAUUUAAUGACUAUUACUAGGUUCGUGUUGAAUGAACAGAGUAAAUACCCUGAAUCUCGCGGCGAUUUCACUAUUUUGCUCAGUCAUAUUGUUCUUGGCUGCAAAUUUGUUUGUACUGCAGUUAACAAGGCAGGUUUGGCCAAACUCCUUGGGCUUGCUGGUGAGACUAAUGUGCAG